CUUCUUGAAGAUUCACUUGUACCCUAUUGAGGUCACACCCUCAGGUGCAUCAGUCAAGGUCCACACUUGGUUGGUGUACAUCGAGUCCAUCUCACAUUUCAUAGCUUCCAGCCAUCAUCUGAGUCUCUACUCAUGACAGCUUCCGAAUAGGUCAGUGGAUCAUCAUCCUGAAUGAUGUUAAUCGAAUUGUCAUUCUCAAUAAUAAAACCACAUCUCAGAGGUGUUUAACGCACUCUAUCUGAUCUUCGGAGAGGAGGUGUGUGCUGUG
RNAcentral lists this long non-coding RNA (268 nucleotides) under Elaeis guineensis (African oil palm). Its description in RNAcentral is "long non-coding RNA (EGUI_LNC070570)". The record is from RNAcentral. Lineage: Eukaryota; Viridiplantae; Streptophyta; Magnoliopsida; Arecales; Arecaceae.